RNAcentral lists this ribosomal RNA (405 nucleotides) under uncultured bacterium. RNAcentral describes it as "bacterial SSU rRNA". It matches the Rfam family "Bacterial small subunit ribosomal RNA", at positions 47 to 449 of the family's 1533-position model. The record is from RNAcentral.
CCUAACACAUGCAAGUCGAACGGUAACAGGAAGAAGCUUGCUUCUUUGCUGACGAGUGGCGGACGGGUGAGUAAUGUCUGGGAAACUGCCUGAUGGAGGGGGAUAACUACUGGAAACGGCAGCUAAUACCGCAUAACGUCGCAAGACCAAAGAGGGGGACCUUCGGGCCUCUUGCCAUCAGAUGUGCCCAGAUGGGAUUAGCUAGUAGGUGGGGUAACGGCUCACCUAGGCGACGAUCCCUAGCUGGUCUGAGAGGAUGACCAGCCACACUGGAACUGAGACACGGUCCAGACUCCUACGGGAGGCAGCAGUGGGGAAUAUUGCACAGUGGGCGCAAGCCUGAUGCAGCCAUGCCGCGUGUAUGAAGAAGGCCUUCGGGUUGUAAAGACUUUCAGCGGGGAGGAA